RNAcentral lists this ribosomal RNA (346 nucleotides) under uncultured fungus. RNAcentral describes it as "SSU rRNA". It matches the Rfam family "Eukaryotic small subunit ribosomal RNA", at positions 20 to 370 of the family's 1831-position model. The record is from RNAcentral. Lineage: Eukaryota; Fungi.
GUAGUCAUAUGCUUGUCUCAAAGAUUAAGCCAUGCAUGUCUAAGUAUAAGCAAUUAUACAGCGAAACUGCGAAUGGCUCAUUAUAUAAGUUAUCGUUUAUUUGAUAGUACCUUACUACUUGGAUAACCGUGGUAAUUCUAGAGCUAAUACAUGCUAAAAAUCCCGACUUCGGAAGGGAUGUAUUUAUUAGAUUAAAAACCAAUGCCCUCCGGGGCUCUCUGGUGAUUCAUGAUAACUUCUCGAAUCGCACGGCCUUGCGCCGGCGAUGGUUCAUUCAAAUUUCUUCCCUAUCAACUUUCGAUGUUUGGGUAGUGGCCAAACAUGGUUGCAACGGGUAACGGGGAAU